UAGAGGAAGUAAAAGUCGUAACAAGGUCUCCGUUGGUGAACCAGCGGAGGGAUCAUUACUGAGUUUACGCUCUACAACCCUUUGUGAACAUACCUAUAACUGUUGCUUCGGCGGGCAGGGUCUCCGUGACCCUCCCGGCCUCCCGCCCCCGGGCGGGUCGGCGCCCGCCGGAGGAUAACCAAACUCUGAUUUAACGACGUUUCUUCUGAGUGGUACAAGCAAAUAAUCAAAACUUUUAACAACGGAUCUCUUGGUUCUGGCAUCGAUGAAGAACGCAGCGAAAUGCGAUAAGUAAUGUGAAUUGCAGAAUUCAGUGAAUCAUCGAAUCUUUGAACGCACAUUGCGCCCGCCAGCAUUCUGGCGGGCAUGCCUGUUCGAGCGUCAUUUCAACCCUCAAGCUCUGCUUGGUGUUGGGGCCCUACGGCUGACGUAGGCCCUCAAAGGUAGUGGCGGACCCUCCCGGAGCCUCCUUUGCGUAGUAACUUUACGUCUCGCACUGGGAUCCGGAGGGACUCUUGCCGUAAAACCCCCAAUUUUCCAAAGGUUGACCUCGGAUCAGGUAGGAAUACCCGCUGAACUUAAGCAUAUCAAUAAGCGG
RNAcentral lists this ribosomal RNA (598 nucleotides) under Colletotrichum sp. CSC-2014. RNAcentral describes it as "eukaryotic LSU rRNA". The stretch from base 231 to 384 matches the Rfam family "5.8S ribosomal RNA". Lineage: Eukaryota; Fungi; Ascomycota; Sordariomycetes; Glomerellales; Glomerellaceae. The record is from RNAcentral.